UCCGGAAGUCUACCACCAGCUCCU
This 24-nucleotide microRNA is filed under the name Oreochromis niloticus (Nile tilapia). RNAcentral describes it as "oni-miR-10900a". Lineage: Eukaryota; Metazoa; Chordata; Actinopteri; Cichliformes; Cichlidae. The record is from miRBase by way of RNAcentral.